RNAcentral lists this ribosomal RNA (492 nucleotides) under uncultured bacterium. RNAcentral's name for it is "partial 16S ribosomal RNA". It matches the Rfam family "Bacterial small subunit ribosomal RNA", at positions 29 to 507 of the family's 1533-position model. The record is from RNAcentral.
AGUGAACGCUGGCGGUAGGCCUAACACAUGCAAGUCGAACGGCAGCACAGUAAGAUCUUGCUCUUACGGGUGGCGAGUGGCGGACGGGUGAGGAAUACAUCGGAAUCUACUUUUUCGGGGGGGAUAACGUAGGGAAACUUACGCUAAUACCGCAUACUACCUACGGGUGAAAGCAGGGGAUCUUCGGACCUUGCGCGAUUGAAUUAGCCGAUGUCGGAUUAGCUAGUUGGCGGGGUAAAGGCCCACCAAGGCGACGAUCCGUAGCUGGUCUGAGAGGAUGAUCAGCCACACUGGAACUGAGACACGGUCCAGACUCCUACGGGAGGCAGCAGUGGGGAAUAUUGGACAAUGGGCGCAAGCCUGAUCCAGCCAUACCGCGUGGGUGAAGAAGGCCUUCGGGUUGUAAAGCCCUUUUGUUGGGAAAGAAAAGCAGCAGGUUAAUACCCCGCUGUUCUGACGGUACCCAAAGAAUAAGCACCGGCUAACUUCGUG